GACGAACGCUGGCGGCGUGCUUAACACAUGCAAGUCGAACGGGCCUGUCUUCUUUUUUGGGGGUGGGUUGAGUGGCGAACGGGUGAGUAUCACGUGAGUAACCUGCCCUUCGGUCCUGGAUAACCGCUUGAAAGGGCGGCUAAUACGGGGUGGUCCGGUUGGUCCGCAUGGGCUGGUCGGGAUAGAUUCACUGUUUUUGGUGUUUCGGCGGGGGAUGGGCUCGCGGCCUAUCAGCUUGUUGGUGGGGUGAUGGCCUACCAAGGCGGUGACGGGUAGCCGGCCUGAGGGGGGGGGCGGCCACAGUGGGACUGGGAUACGGCCCAGACUCCUGCGGGAGGCAGCAGUGGGGGGUAUUGCACAAUGGGCGGAAGCCUGAUGCAGCGACGUCGCGUGAGGGAUGGAGGCCUUCGGGUUGUGAACCUCUGUUUCCGGUGGUGAAGGCCCUGUCCGUGUGGUGGGGUUGACGGUAGCCGGGGAUGAAGCGCCGGCUAACUACGUG
Molecule: ribosomal RNA, 499 nt
Filed under: uncultured bacterium
Lineage: Bacteria
Description: partial 16S ribosomal RNA
Rfam family: Bacterial small subunit ribosomal RNA
Source: RNAcentral